GGAGUUAGCCGGUGCUUCUUCUGUGAGUGAUGUCCUUCCUGCCGGCUAUUAACCCGCAGGCCUUCUUCCUCACUGAAAGUGCUUUACAACCCGAAGGCCUUCUUCACACACGCGGCAUGGCUGGAUCAGGGUUGCCCCCAUUGUCCAAUAUUCCCCACUGCUGCCUCCCGUAGGAGUCUGGGCCGUGUCUCAGUCCCAGUGUGGCUGAUCAUCCUCUCAGACCAGCUACGGAUCGUCGCCUUGGUGAGCCGUUACCUCACCAACCAGCUAAUCCGACAUAGGCUCAUCCGAUAGCGCGAGGCCCGAAGGUCCCCCGNUUUCCCCCGUAGGGCGUAUGCGGUAUUAGCCCUGGGUUUCCCCAGGUUAUCCCCCACUACCGGGCAGAUUCCCUAUGCAUUACUCACCCGUCCGCCGCUCGCCACCAGGGAGCAAGCUCCCCGUGCUGCCGCUCGACUUGCAUGUGUUAGGCCUGCCGCCAGCGUUCAAUCUGAGCCAUGAUCAAACUCUGA
This 509-nucleotide ribosomal RNA is filed under the name uncultured bacterium. RNAcentral describes it as "partial 16S ribosomal RNA". The record is from RNAcentral.